This 74-nucleotide ribosomal RNA is filed under the name Sporosarcina sp. P1. Its description in RNAcentral is "partial 16S ribosomal RNA". It matches the Rfam family "Bacterial small subunit ribosomal RNA", at positions 1 to 73 of the family's 1533-position model. The record is from RNAcentral. Lineage: Bacteria; Bacillati; Bacillota; Bacilli; Caryophanales; Caryophanaceae.
UAUUAUGGAGAGUUUGAUCCUGGCUCAGGACGAACGCUGGCGGCAUGCCUAAUACAUGCAAGUCGAGCGAACUG